RNAcentral lists this ribosomal RNA (424 nucleotides) under uncultured prokaryote. RNAcentral's name for it is "bacterial SSU rRNA". It matches the Rfam family "Bacterial small subunit ribosomal RNA", at positions 355 to 796 of the family's 1533-position model. The record is from RNAcentral.
UGGGGAAUAUUGGACAAUGGGGGCCACCCUGAUCCAGCCAUGCCGCGUGAUUGAUGAAGGCCUUAGGGUUGUAAAGCUCUUUCGCCGGUGAAGAUAAGGACGGUAACCGGUAAAGAAGCCCCGGCUAACAUCGUGCCAGCAGCCGCGGAAAUACGAAGGGGGCUAGCGUUGUUCGGAAUUACUGGGCGUAAAGCGCGCGUAGGCGGACUAUUAAGACAGGGGUGAAAUCCCGGGGCUCAACCUCGGAAUUGCCUUUGAUACUGGUAGUCUAGAGUCCGUGAGAGGUGAGUGGAACUCCGGGUGUAGAGGUGAAAUUCGUAGAUAUUCGGAAGAACACCAGUGGCGAAGGCGGCUCACUGGCACGGUACUGACGCUGAGGUGCGAAAGCGUGGGGAGCAAACAGGAUUAGAUACCCCCGUAGUCC